RNAcentral lists this ribosomal RNA (468 nucleotides) under uncultured bacterium. RNAcentral's name for it is "partial 16S ribosomal RNA". It matches the Rfam family "Bacterial small subunit ribosomal RNA", at positions 28 to 507 of the family's 1533-position model. The record is from RNAcentral.
GACGAACGCUGGCGGCGUGCUUAACACAUGCAAGUCGAACGGAAAGGCCCUGCUUUUGUGGGGUGCUCGAGUGGCGAACGGGUGAGUAACACGUGAGUAACCUGCCCUUGACUUUGGGAUAACUUCAGGAAACUGGGGCUAAUACCGGAUAGGAGCUCCUGCUGCAUGGUGGGGGUUGGAAAGUUUCGGCGGUUGGGGAUGGACUCGCGGCUUAUCAGCUUGUUGGUGGGGUAGUGGCUUACCAAGGCUUUGACGGGUAGCCGGCCUGAGAGGGUGACCGGCCACAUUGGGACUGCGAUACGGCCCAGACUCCUACGGGAGGCAGCAGUGGGGAAUAUUGCACAAUGGGCGGAAGCCUGAUGCAGCAACGCCGCGUGCGGGAUGACGGCCUUCGGGUUGUAAACCGCUUUCGCCUGUGACGAAGCGUGAGUGGCGGUAAUGGAUAAAGAAGCACCGGCUAACUACGUG